This 494-nucleotide ribosomal RNA is filed under the name uncultured bacterium. RNAcentral describes it as "partial 16S ribosomal RNA". It matches the Rfam family "Bacterial small subunit ribosomal RNA", at positions 28 to 507 of the family's 1533-position model. The record is from RNAcentral.
GACGAACGCUGGCGGCGUGCUUAACACAUGCAAGUCGAACGGUGAAGCGCCUUCCUUUUUGGUGGGUGUGGAUGAGUGGCGAACGGGUGAGUAACACGUGAGUAACCUGCCCCCUUCUUCUGGAUAACCGCAUGAAAGUGUGGCUAAUACGGGAUAUUCUGGGUCUGUCGCAUGAUGGGUCUGGGAAAGAUAUUGUUUCGGUGGGGGAUGGGCUCGCGGCCUAUCAGCUUGUUGGUGGGGUGAUGGCCUACCAAGGCGGUGACGGGUAGCCGGCCUGCGAGGGUGGACGGUCACACUGGGACUGAGACACGGCCCAGACUCCUACGGGAGGCAGCAGUGGGGGAUAUUGCACAAUGGGCGCAAGCCUGAUGCAGCGACGCCGCGUGAGGGAUGGAGGCCUUCGGGUUGUGAACCUCUUUCGCCAGUGAAGCAGGCCUGCCUCGUUUGUGGGUGGGUUGACGGUAGCUGGAUAAGAAGCGCCGGCUAACUACGUG